UGUGUGUGUGUGUGUAAGUCCAAAGAAUAAGAGGAAAGAAGAGAGCACUACUCUGAGCUUUGUGAAGAAUGUGCCAGAGUAGCCCUGAGAAAAUAGGACAUUUGGAGAUAAUGGAAGGCAUAGAGCCUUUAAUCACAAAUAUUAAACAAAUGUCAAGAAAUUGUGGCUGAACCAUGAAUAGAAUGGGAUAGGAUGUCAAACUCUCAUGAAGUAUGAGAAAAGACUUGACUGGGCACUGGUGGUAGGUAUGUUUCCUUUCCCUUAUACGGGCAUCAUGGCAUUGGGAGUGUAGAGAAAAUAAAUUUCUUCCACUUGGCUUGAUAAAGGUAUUUUAAUAUUCCAAGUAAUAUAGAUGCCACUUAUGGAUGGUCAAAGUUUUGAUUAGCUUAUUAACAAAGCCUAAAAGAUUUAAUGUUACACCCAGAAUAGAGCUGGAAAGGGAUGUUGACCAGAUGAUGCAGAAAAUGAAGGCUGAAUUAGUUGAGAGAAGAGAAGUAGAAGAAAAAUGGGGCUACUUAAAUAUUCAAAGUGGGGAUGAAAAGAUGCUGCCUUCAGAUAAUGGAACACAGUUGCAUGGUUAGUUUGCUGGUCCAUGCUAUAAAUCAGACCCUCAAAAGAAUAUCUACCAAGCAUUUGGACAAGGGUAGGCAGGGGAAAGGUGAAGGUGGUGUAUGUUAUAUCCUUAUCUUUUGUAAUGGUGAAAGAUUAAAAAUUGUCUAAAGUUAAUAAGUCAAGAAAUUAUUGUUCAAACAUGUUGUUUAAAAGUAGGAAGUUAGCCACCAGAAGAUCCAAAAAUAGAUAUUAUUAAAAGCAUCUAGGAAAUGAGACUAGAGAAAGAGGGUGGGUGGGAAACCAUUUUUAUUUCAAGUUCCUCUGUACUAUUUAAAUUUUUUUACCUUGUGCAUGUAUUAUUUGGGAAAGUUUUUAAUAAACUCAAAUAAAACAUCCUU
Molecule: long non-coding RNA, 950 nt
Filed under: Rattus norvegicus (Norway rat)
Lineage: Eukaryota; Metazoa; Chordata; Mammalia; Rodentia; Muridae
Description: long non-coding RNA NONRATT021378
Source: RNAcentral